UGACUUUAUUGUGUAGAGCAGGCUGGUCC
RNAcentral lists this non-coding RNA (29 nucleotides) under Rattus norvegicus (Norway rat). The record is from RNAcentral. Lineage: Eukaryota; Metazoa; Chordata; Mammalia; Rodentia; Muridae.